Molecule: non-coding RNA, 112 nt
Organism: Acanthosepion pharaonis
Lineage: Eukaryota; Metazoa; Mollusca; Cephalopoda; Sepiida; Sepiidae
Source: the annotation of a GenBank genome assembly
UACGUCCAUAUCCCGCUGAAACACCGAUUCUCGCCCAAUCACCGAAGGUAAGCAACGUCGAGCCUGGUCAGUACGUAGAAGAGUGAACGCUUGGGAAUACCAGGUAGUGUAA